RNAcentral lists this ribosomal RNA (328 nucleotides) under uncultured eukaryote. RNAcentral describes it as "partial 18S ribosomal RNA". It matches the Rfam family "Eukaryotic small subunit ribosomal RNA", at positions 1470 to 1796 of the family's 1831-position model. The record is from RNAcentral.
UCCUUAGAUGUCCUGGGCUGCACGCGCGCUACACUGAUGUGUCCAGUAAGCACCUAACCUCUUCCGAAAGGAACGGGUAACCUUUGCAAAGCACAUCGUGAUGGGGAUAGAUUAUUGCAAUUAUUAGUCUUGAACGAGGAAUUCCUAGUAAGCACAAGACAUCAGCUUGUGUUGAUUACGUCCCUGCCCUUUGUACACACCGCCCGUCGCUCCUACCGAUUGGGUGUGCUGGUGAAAUGUUCGGAUCGGCCGUUUGUCGCGGUUUCCGCGUCAUGUGGCUGAGAAGUUCAUUAAACCCUCCCACCUAGAGGAAGGAGAAGUCGUAACA